Molecule: ribosomal RNA, 441 nt
Filed under: uncultured bacterium
Lineage: Bacteria
Description: bacterial SSU rRNA
Rfam family: Bacterial small subunit ribosomal RNA
Source: RNAcentral
AUUGAACGCUGGCGGCAUGCUUUACACAUGCAAGUCGAACGGUAACAGGGAGCUUGCUCCGCUGACGAGUGGCGAACGGGUGAGUAAUAUAUCGGAACGUACCCAAGAGUGGGGGAUAACGUAGCGAAAGUUACGCUAAUACCGCAUACGAUCUAAGGAUGAAAGCAGGGGAUCUUCGGACCUUGUGCUCCUGGAGCGGCCGAUAUCUGAUUAGCUAGUUGGUGAGGUAAAGGCUCACCAAGGCGACGAUCAGUAGCUGGUCUGAGAGGACGACCAGCCACACUGGAACUGAGACACGGUCCAGACUCCUACGGGAGGCAGCAGUGGGGAAUUUUGGACAAUGGGCGCAAGCCUGAUCCAGCAAUGCCGCGUGAGUGAAGAAGGCCUUCGGGUUGUAAAGCUCUUUUGUCAGGGAAGAAACGGGAGUGGCUAAUAUCCAUU